AUACAGAGGGUGCGAGCGUUAAUCGGAUUUACUGGGCGUAAAGCGCGCGUAGGCGGCCAGAUAAGUCGGAUGUGAAAGCCCCGGGCUCAACCUGGGAAUUGCAUUCGAUACUGUCUGGCUAGAGUAUGGUAGAGGGAAGUGGAAUUCCACAUGUAGCGGUGAAAUGCGUAGAUAUGUGGAGGAACACCAGUGGCGAAGGCGGCUUCCUGGCCCAAUACUGACGCUGAGGCGCGAAAGCGUGGGGAGCAAACAGGAUUAGAAACCCUUGUAGUCC
RNAcentral lists this ribosomal RNA (274 nucleotides) under uncultured bacterium. RNAcentral's name for it is "partial 16S ribosomal RNA". It matches the Rfam family "Bacterial small subunit ribosomal RNA", at positions 523 to 796 of the family's 1533-position model. The record is from RNAcentral.